CACCAGCUGCCGACAGCAUCUCCCAGAUACCCUGGCAGCACCAGAUCCUGGUGUUCCCACGGCCAGGACAGCACGCAGCUGGCAGGUGGCUCCUGCAGGACCGAGCUCCAGCCACCAGCCUGCGGAGGCCAUGUCGGACUAUGAGAAUGAGGACGAGUGCUGGAAUGCCCUGGAGGGCUUCCGGGUCAAGCUCAUCUCUGUCAUCGACCCUGCCCGCAUCACGCCCUACCUGCGCCAGUGCAAGGUUCUGAACCCUGAUGAUGAGGAGCAGGUGCUCAGUGACCCCAACCUUGUCAUCCGCAAGCGGAAAGUGGGCGUGCUGCUGGACAUCCUGCAGAGGACAGGUCACAAGGGCUACGUGGCCUUCCUCGAGAGCCUGGAGCUUUACUACCCACAGCUAUAUAGAAAAGUCACCGGCAAGGAACCGGCUCGUGUCUUCUCCAUGAUCAUCGACGCAUCUGGGGAGUCUGGCCUGACACAGCUGCUGAUGACGGAGGUCAUGAAACUGCAGAAGAAGGUGCAGGACUUGACUGCGCUGCUGAGCUCCAAGGACGACUUCAUCAAGGAGCUGCGGGUGAAGGACAGCCUACUGCGCACACACCAGGAGCGGGUGCAGCGGCUCAAGGAGCAGUGCGAGGCCGGCGGCCGCGAGCUUAAGCGCUGCAAGGAGGAGAACUACGACCUGGCCCUUCGCCUGGCGCGCCUCAGCGAGGAGAAGGGCGCAGCACUCAUGCGGAGCCGCGACCUGCAGCUGGAGGUGGACCGACUCAGGCACAGCCUCAUGAAGGCAGAGGAUGACUGCAAGGUGGAGCGCAAACACACGCUGAAGCUCAGGCACGCCAUGGAGCAGCGGCCCAGCCAGGAGCUGCUGUGGGAGCUGCAGCAGGAGAAGGCCCUGCUGCAGGCCCGUGUGCAGGAGCUGGAGGCCUCCGUGCAGGAGGGGAAGCUGGACAGGAACAGCCCCUACAUCCAGGUGCUGGAGGAGGACUGGCGCCAGGCACUGCGGGACCACCAGGAGCAGGCCAACACCAUAUUCUCCCUGCGCAAGGACCUCCGCCAGGGCGAGGCCCUCCGCAACCGGUGCAUGGAGGAGAGGGAGAUGUUCGAGCUGCAGUGCCUGGCUCUGCGCAAGGACACCAAGAUGUACAAGGACCGCAUCGAGGCUGUCCUGCAGCAGAUGGAGGAGGUGGCCAUCGAGCGGGACCAGGCCAUGGCCUCCCGGGAGGAACUGCACACGCAGUGUGCCCGGAGCCUCCAGGAGAAGGAUGAACUGCGCAAGCGGGUCCGGGAGCUGAGCGAGAAGGCGGAUGAGCUGCAGCUGCAGCUGUUCCAGUGCGAGAGCCGGCUGCUGGCCGCGGAGGGCAGGCUCAAGCAGCAGCAGCUGGACACACUCACCCUGAGCUCUGAUCUGGAGGACAGCUCCCCCAGGAAUUCCCAGGAGCUCUCACUGCCCCUAGAUGUGGAGGAGGAUGCCCAGCUCUCGGACAGAGGACCUGAACUUUGGUCUGCCUAGAUCCUGGGAGAGUUAGAGGGGUCCAGCAGCCUGGAAAGUUCUGCUUCCAACUGCGGCAGUAUCCCAGCCACACCUCUGGAGGCCCUGGGCCCUCCUCUUGAGGUUGCCCCUGCCCACUCCUAAGAGCCACCACACCUGAAAAUGCUACUCAGCAACUGGGAACACAGCACAGCCUGACGGGGCUUGGGGCCACCUGAGAAAAGUGUCCUGGAGCCUUGGGGUCCUUGUUUGUCUGUUUGUCGUUGGUCUUUGGGGGCAGCCAGCUCAGGAGGAAUGGAUGGUUGAUGGAAGGAGUUGUGGGACUCUCUAGGACCAGCAGCCUCUGCCUGCCUCAGAAGGCUUCUCCUUGGAGUGAGGGGAGGCCAGGCUAGGGGUCUGGGCCUGUUUUCUUGCCUGACCAUGGAGACUAACUGGCCAUGAGGCCUCGCUGAGGGGGAGAGACAAGAGCAGCCCUUCGCAGCCCCGCAGAAGGACGCUGGCGCGAGCAGCGGCGAGCCCCCGGAGAAGGAGCGGCGGCGCCUCAAGGAGAGCUUCGAGAACUACCGCAGG
Molecule: non-coding RNA, 2062 nt
Organism: Ictidomys tridecemlineatus (thirteen-lined ground squirrel)
Lineage: Eukaryota; Metazoa; Chordata; Mammalia; Rodentia; Sciuridae
Source: RefSeq, a predicted model, not a curated record